This 496-nucleotide ribosomal RNA is filed under the name uncultured bacterium. RNAcentral's name for it is "partial 16S ribosomal RNA". It matches the Rfam family "Bacterial small subunit ribosomal RNA", at positions 29 to 507 of the family's 1533-position model. The record is from RNAcentral.
AUGAACGCUGGCGGCGUGCCUAAUCCAUGCAAGUCGAGCGCACAGAUGAGGAGCUUGCUCCUCUGACGUUAGCGGCGGACGGGUGAGUAACACGUGGAUAACCUACCUAUAAGACUGGGAUAACUUCGGGAAACCGGAGCUAAUACCGGAUAAUAUAUUGAACUGCAUGGUUCAAUAGUGAAAGACGGUUUUGCUGUCACUUAUAGAUGGAUCCGCGCCGCAUUAGCUAGUUGGUAAGGUAACGGCUUACCAAGGCAACGAUGCGUAGCCGACCUGAGAGGGUGAUCGGCCACACUGGAACUGAGACACGGUCCAGACUCCUACGGGAGGCAGCAGUAGGGAAUCUUCCGCAAUGGGCGAAAGCCUGACGGAGCAACGCCGCGUGAGUGAUGAAGGUCUUCGGAUCGUAAAACUCUGUUAUUAGGGAAGAACAAAUGUGUAAGUAACUAUGCACGUCUUGACGGUACCUAAUCAGAAAGCCACGGCUAACUACGUG